Molecule: unclassified non-coding RNA, 242 nt
Filed under: Leohumicola minima
Lineage: Eukaryota; Fungi; Ascomycota; Leotiomycetes
Description: sequence contains 5.8S rRNA gene
Source: RNAcentral
GAACGCACAUUGCGCCCCUUGGUAUUCCGAGGGGCAUGCCCGUUCGAGCGUCAUUAUACCCCUCAAGCCUGGCUUGGUGUUGGGGCCUGCUGUUACCGGCAGCCCUUAAAAUCAGUGGCGGUGCCAUCUGGCUCUAAGCGUAGUAAUACUUCUCGCUACAGGGUCCCGGUGGAUGCCUGCCAUCAACCCCUAAUUUUCUAUGGUUGACCUCGGAUCGGGUAGGGAUACCCGCUGAACUUAAG